AGGAACUGGUCCUUCGAUUUUGCUUCUAAAUUGGAUCAACCAACACUUAGCCCAAAACUUGGACUACUAAUUUAGGCCCGAAAUCACUCAAACCCCACGCUCCUCUCCCUUUCCUUCGUCACUCUUCAUUCUCUCCUCUUCCAACGGUCCUUUUACAAUUUGGAAUUAGUCUCUGCAACGGCUCUUUCGGUUUGAAAUUUGAUAUCUCCGGCACCCUACAUAGCUUUAUUUAUUGUCCAUAUAUAUCAGCCAUUGAAAUUAGGGAUACUUAGCUCUGGAGAAAACUUUUCUCGUCCAAGUCUUUUUCGAGUUCUCUUUUGGCUGUUUCAGUUGUUCGUGGUGGAGGGUUUGUUAUCUUCGACUCGUCUAGUCUGUUUUGAGUUCUCUUUUGGCUGAUUGAGUUGCUCGUGGUUGAGGGUUUGUUGUCUUCGAUUCGUCGUCCCAAAACACUGAUCCUAAAAAGGUAUUAUUAUCUCAAUUUUUACUUUGCUUUACGUUGAAUUUGUGUAUUAGCAGUUUUUUUUCUAGAUUUUGCUGACUGUCUAUUUUUCAAUUCACAUUCAAUAUUUCUUUGUGUAUUCAUUGUUUAUAAUGUUUAAGCUUCAAGUAUGUUUAGAGAUUAUUGUAAGAAUUUAGCCUUUCUAAUUGAUAACACCUGCUUCAUCCUUUGUUACAACUCUUUACCUCUUUCUGUUCUAAUAUCUAAAAAUAUCUCUUUUAGCUGGAUGUUUGAUGUUUAUUUGACUCAUUAUCAAAAGCUGUUUGUUUUGAUGAGAAUCUAUUUCAAUUUAUUUAAGAUUCACAACUAUGUAAUUCCUAAAAAAUAUAAUUUUGUUUCGGUUUUAAGUUUAGAUUUCAGAUUGAAAUUUGACUCGAGUUCAUGGCUGUUUGAAAUCUUAUACUUGUCUAAGCUUUGGUUUAUCCACUCGUUCAUUCUAUCUUGCUAGCUUACUUCGAAAAAAAUCUGGAUAUGAUCUCGUGAUGUUGAAUCUAAGGCUAGAAAGUAGUUUUUCAUCGUUUAUAAGCAAUCUGGUCUGUUGUUUGAAUCAUGAAUUUAUUUGUCAAGCAUGAUUUAUUUUGCUUAACCAUCUAUGAUCACCAUUGUUUCAACCUAGAAUUUGGAGUGUUAUAUUAAUUUAUCAGCUCCUCUUUAAUUGAUUAGUGUACUUGCUAAAUGAAAUACAUAUACAAAUGACCAAUGUGUCCUGUUUUUGAUUGUUUCCCCUAAUGGCUCCGUCACGGCGUCACCUAGGUGUCUUGUCGAAAUAAUUUGAAAAGGUUGUUGUUUGGGUCUUGAUUUUAUUUUAUUUUUUUGUUUGUUCAUUUCCUACUGUGUUAAAAUUAAGUCGAUACAAGCGUAGGUUAUAUUUUCGAAGUUGUCUUCACCUAUGUUGCGUGGACUCUUCAUUUUUGCGGCCGAACCCGUCUCGACGCGACACUGGUGCGGGCGCGGGUGCGGGGUGCGUGUCGGAUUUGGUCAAUCCGAUCCGGAUACUUUGACCAAAGCCGAGAAAAAAAAUGGGGAAUAAGAGAUAAUUUCAUGGAUGGCGAAAGUUGACGACGACGAAGUUGUCACAAGGUCUGGCUGCUCCAUGGAAAAGAAUAAUGAAGAGNNNNNNNNNNNNNNNNNNNNNNNNNNNNNNNNNNNNNNNNNNNNNNNNNNNNNNNNNNNNNNNNNNNNNNNNNNNNNNNNNNNNNNNNNNNNNNNNNNNNNNNNNNNNNNNNNNNNNNNNNNNNNNNNNNNNNNNNNNNNNNUAAAAGAAGGUUAGGGUUUCUUGGGAGAAGAAAAGGCAUUCUUGGGAGAAGAAAGGGCAGCACGUCAGAACACGUCAGAACUUUAAUUAAUUGUACUACUAUCUAAUUUAAUAUGCUAUAUAUAUAGAUAUGGCAGCACGUCAGAACUUUAAUGAAUUGUACUACUAUCUNNNNNNNNNNNUGUACUACUAUCUAAUUUAAUAGGCUAUAUAUAUAUAUAAAUGAUUAUUUCUUUUUUAUAAUAAAUAAAAGGAAUUAUAAUUUUUUUAAAAUUAAUUAGUAACAAGUAAUUAAUUUAUACUUUUAAAUUUGUAUAUCUAUAAUUGAUAUCCUUUUAAGUAUAAGUAUAGCAUUUUACAAGAUAUUUAUUAUUAUUAUUAUUAUUAUUUAUAAUAUUGAAUAAUUUUAACGAAUCCCCGCACCCGUAUCCAUACUCGGAUUCGCACCCCCGAAUCUUAAAAUUUAAAUUUUGCCGAAUCCGACUCUCGGAUUUGCAUCCGUCUCGGAUACCCGCACCCGAGUCCGAGCAACUUAGGUCUUCACCCUAUCCGCCCCUUUCUUUUUUUACGUCUCCUCUCUUUGAUUCAAAUUUGCCUAUAAGGAAGAAGUUGCAAUGCAUGAUUGCCUAGUCUUGUGAUGUAUUAGCAUAUUUAUUUCCAUACACUGGCCUAUCUCUGCAUGUUUUUAUCUGUAUGAUAAGUUUUGUUUCCUCUUGGAUUGUGUCUUGUGGUAAAAUACUUACAUGUGCUAUCCAGCAUGUUUUUAGCAUAUGAGACAAUUCCCUGUACAUAUUCAUAAGAUGUUGAGAAAUUGAGACGUGCUUGUUUAUCUCUUUCCUUAUAUAAUUUUGAUGCCAAGAUUUUUAAAGACACUAUUUUCUCUUUUGCGAGAGUCAUCUGAUUCACUGUCUAAAAAAUAAGAAAGUCUUAGUCAUCUAUCUUGUAGUAUUCUAAUAUGCUAGUAUAGUAGUUUUGAACUUUGUCUGGCUACCUAUCCUUUAGGGUAUAGAUUUUUUUUUUUCUUCUUUGCUAUGAAUUCCCAUUUGCUACUGUUUUAACAAAUCCCUUGAAAGAAUGUUUUGUGUUCUCACUAUUUCGUUUACAUUUAACUAUUUUUACUACUUGUUUUGAAAUCUUUUGGAGAUAGAAAUUUCAUAAAGAGUCCUGAAUGUGUGCUGGUUUAAGUUAUUGUCAUCAGUCUUUUCGUUUGUGCUUCUCGUUUAAAUGAUUCCUUGCUGUAAAUAGUUCGUUUUAUCCUAUCCAGCGAUUGAUUAACUAAGGCUUGAACUAUGAUUAAAUAGGUCAUAGAAUAUGUAUGGUUUGUCUUAAAUCAAGUUCUUUCCUUUUAAAUGUUUGUCACAGUCUAAGAUUUUAGUCGACGUGUAACUAUGAUAUGUUUCUGCUAAAAGGCUAUAGUUAUAUGAAUUCUUGGAGAUUAUGGCCUUAAUGUUUCCUUCUACUGUUUCAUGAAACAUGUUGGGUGGCAUGAUUUUUUAUUUUUUUACUUUUGUUCAACCUUGGUAAAGCUCGUCCUGUUCUCUAUUUGAAUAUGCCUGACCACUAGCUUACAAGAAGUCAUCACUUUGUUCCAACCUUGGUAAAGCUCGUCCUGUUCUCUAUUUGUUCAUUUGUUUGCUAUUGUUAAGGUAUAACCUUUGGACGGGUAUACAUUUUGAGUUCUCUCCAGUCUCUCCUCUCCCAACGGUCCUUUCAGAAUUUGGAUCAUCUCUGCAACGGCUCUUUGGGUUUGGAACUUGAAAUCUCCCGCACCCUAAAAGGCUUUAUUUGUUAUUUAUGUAAUACUGUUGGAAAAACGCGGACUAACACAAAAAUAUAUAUGGUCAAAAUAAUAGAAAUAAAAUGGGAAAAUAAUGACACGAAGAAUUUUACGUGGAAACCCUUUUAAAUAAGGGUAGUCACUAUAGUAAGGAAUUUUACAUUGUGUAGUAACGAAUACAAUACUCAAAGUGACUACUACACACUCAAAAGGAAUGACACUCUUUUGAUUUCCACCUUACUAAAAUAUCGUUCACACUCUUUCUCUUCACAGAUUAUUUUUCUUAUAUAGUCUAUGGAAUAUCUCACUUUGCUCUCAAAUAUUUUUUUCUCUCUCUAACUUGGUGUAUUUGAAAUGAGCAAGGACAAAACACAUCGACGUUAGAUAUCAUUGGAUUCGUGAGGAAGUGGAGAGUGAAUCAUUUCACGUCAAAAAGAUCCACACAUGUGAAAAUCCUGCAGAUAUGCCGGCCAAGACAAUAUCGAAAGACAAGUUAGAGUUAUGCAAAGAACUUGUCUGUAUGAGCUCUCUCUAAAGAAAAUGAAGAUGUUUUCUUCUGUUGAAUGGGUUUGGAGGGGGAGAUUUGUAGGGUCCAUACCCAUUAUAGAUAAACAUAAGGAAAGAUGAAAUGCAGGAAAGGUUGAAAUGUUUGUUGCAACAGUUGUUGACUUUAACAAUAUAAGCAACAAACAUUUCAACCUUUGCUGCAUUUCAACUUUCCUUAUGUUUAUCUAUAAUGGGUAUGGACCGUACAAAUCUCCCCCCUCUAGACCCAUUCACCGGAAGAAGACCAUCUUCAUUUUCUUUAGAGAGAGCUCAUACUGACAAGUUCUUUGCAUAACUCUAACUUGUCUUUCGGUAUUGUCUUGGUUAGCAUAUUUGCAGGAUUUUCACUUGUGGAUUUUUUUGACGUGAUAUGAUUCACUCUCUACUUCCUCACGAAUCCAAUGAUAUCUGACGUUGAUGUGUUUUGUCCUUGCAUGGUACAUGGAGUUCUUGCUCAAGUCUAUUGCACUCUGACUAUCAUAAUAGACAACAUACUCUUAUCUGUUGCAAUCCAAGUUCUUGAAGAAAUCGCUUUAGCCAUAUCAUCUCUUUACCAGCUUCAGUAGCCGCAAUAUACUCAACUUCAGUUGUAGAUAGUGCAACACACUUCUGCAACUUUGACUGCCAUGAUAUAGCUCCCCUUGAAAAAAUAAACAAAUAUCCAGUUGUGGAUUUUGUGUUAUCAAGGUCACCUGUCAUAUCAGCAUUUGUAUAGUGCAACACACUUCUGCAACUUUGACUACCAUGAUAUGCUCUUUUCCCAGAUUGUUGAGAAAUCUGCGGACAACACCAACUGCAUGAGCAAUAUCAGGUCUAGUGCAUACCAUUGGAUACAUUAGACUUUCGACGUCGGAGGAAUAUGGAACUUUGGCCAUGCUCUCUUUUUCCUCCCUAGCUGUAGGACACAUCUUCUUGCUCAAUUUCAUAUGACCAGCAAGAGGUGUACCAUGCUUAGCAUUCUUCAUACUGAAGCGCUCUAGUACACGUUCAAUGUACUUCUUCUACGAGACCAGUAAUUCUCAUGCCCAAAAUUUGCUUUGCAUGACCCAAGUCUUUCAUAGCAAAAGACUUGCACAACUCUUUCUUUAAUUCAUCAAUCUUGGAAAUAUUCUUGCCCACAAUCAACAUACCAUCCACAUACAGCAAGAGGAUAAUAAAAUCAUCGUCAGAAUUUUUUUAUACAAAUACAUAAUGAUCUGAUGAAGUCUUCGUCUAGGAGCUUGCUUUAGGCCAUAGAGACUCUUUCUGAGUUUGCACAAAAUAAUUUUUUUACCUUCUAUUCUACUUUGAGAGUAGAAGCCCUCAGGUUGUUCUAUAUAAAUCUCUUAUUCUAGGUCACCGUGAAGGAAAGUCGUCUUCACAUCCAUAUGCUCAAUCUCUAAAUUAAGACUAGCAGCCAAACCUAGAACCGUACGAAUGGAGGACAUUUUCACGACAGGAGAAAAUAUUUCGUCAAAGUCAAUACUCUUCCUUUGACCAAAUCCCUUAACAACCAAUUUAGCUUUGUACCUGGGCUUCAAGUUAUGUUCUUCUACUUUAAUUUUGAACACCCAUUUGUUCUUCAAAGCUCUCAUGCCCUUGGGCAAUUUUACCAACUCAUAAGUGUGGUUCUCAUGCAGAGACUUCAUCUCAUCUUGCAUGACUUCAAUCUAUUGAUCCUUGUGCUCAUCUUCCAUGGCCUCCUCAUAACAUUCAGGUUCUCCCCCGUCAGUGAGUAACACAUACUCAUUGGGUGAAUAACGAGAGGAAGAAACUCGUUGUCUUGUGGACCUCCUAAGCGGGAUAUUUGAUUCGUCCACAACUUCAUGAGCAGAAGGAUCAUCAAUAACAUCAUUGUUAUUGUCAACAUCAACGUGUUGAUCCGAGGCAUGAUUAUGGGCGUCACCAUGAUCAUCAAGCCCAACAACAUCAUGCAUACUUGUGUGAGGAACUUCAUCAAGAUGAAUUAUGCCAUCAAAACCUGAAGAUUCUAGCUUCUUCGUUUUGUCAAUAUCUUCAAUUGUUUGAUUCUCCAUGAAAAUAAUAUCACGGCUUCUCACGAGUUUCUUCUCAAUUGGAUCAUAUAGCCUAUAACCAAAUUCAUCAAGGCCAUAUCCAAUGAAGAUGCACCGUCUUGUCUUGGCAUCUAACUUUGACCUCUCAUCUUUCGGCACAUGUACAAAAGCUUUGCAACCAAAUACUCUCAAAUUAUCAUAGGAAACAUCCUUUCCAUACCAAACUCUAUUUGGAACAUCACUUUGCAAAGCAACAGUAGGAGAUAGAUUAAUAACAUGUGCAGCGGUCAAUAAAGCCUUACCCCAAAAUGAUUUCGGCAACUUUGCUUCAGAAAGCAAACAUCUAACUCUUUCCAUCAAGGUCCUGUUCAUCCUCUCAGCCAAACAUUAAGCUGAGGAGUCUUAGGAGGAGUCUUCUAUGUCUAAUACCUUGAUGCUUGCAGUAUUCGUCAAAUGGUCCACAAUAUUCACCACCAUUAUCAAUACGAAUACAUUUCAGUUUCUUUCCUUUCCAGUUUCUCUUUCAACUGAAGCCUGAAACUGCUUGAAGACACCUAACACAAUAUUCACCACCAUUAUCAGUACAAAUACAUUUCAGUUUCUUUCCUUUCCAGUUUCUCUUUCAACUAAAGCCUGAAACUGCUUGAAGACACCUAACACUUGGUCUUUAGUCUUCAAGACAUAGACCCAAAGUUUUCUCGAGCAGUCAUCAAUAAAAGUGACAAAGUAGUGUGCACCACCAAAUGUCAUUUUCUUCAUUGGACCUCAUAAAUCAGAGUGCACCAACUCAAGCAACUAUGUCUUUCUCGAAGGAAGAUUAGACUUGAAGGAACCUCUAUUUUGUUUACCAGCCAAACAGUUCACACUUUUCUAAUUUUGCACUUUGGAAAUUUGACAAUAAUUUCUUCUUGGCUGGAACAUUAAGUCGUUUCACGCUGAUGUGGCUAAGCCUCUUGUGCAAUAACGUUGAAGAGUUAUCGCUCUCAACCGCAUUCACCAUAUCAACAUAAGUAGAAGUUGUAGUCCAGUAUAGACCACGACAUUUGUUGCCAUGAACCACAACCAAGGAACCCUUAAUAAGUGUAGCGACCCUAAAAAUGAAAUCGCGAAACUAGAGCCUCGUGUGUUGGUAUUUAGUUGGUAAUCUUGUAUAAAUGCUUAAAUAUGGUGUUAGAGGUCAGUUUGAUUGUGUUGGAGGUCAAACGUCAAGAGACGUCCGGAAACUAGUCUUUUGGUGCUAGUGUGUUCUAGUGUGUUGUCAUUGAUAUUGAUGUGUCGUUUUGAAGGUGAAAUCAUAAGGAGGUGGUUCCAAUGUGUAAUUGGACAUGUGUAGGGGGUAAACGUCCGGGUACGACUCCCCAAGGACCACCCUAAGGGUUCUUGAGGAGGACCUAAGUUCAACCCCCAAGGCUGCCCCAAAUGAAAUGAUUCGACCUACGGAUGGGGUUCACGCCCCGUAGGUCCAUCCACGGUUCGUGGAUGGCCUCCGUAACUCCAUUUGGCUCCCCCACAGUACCAAACCACGGAUGCACAACACGGGGCCGUUAAUCCAUCCACGGUCCGUAGAUGGUGGCCGUGGUUUGGCACCUGUGUUGCUGUCAUUUAAGUCGGCCAUGGUACCAAUUCACCCCAAGUCUUUUAAAGUGUGGGGUCGGUUGUUUUAACUUAUUUUUGGUAUUUUAAAAGGUAUUUUUGAAUUCAUUCUUCAAGUUAAAACUCCCAAAGACUUUCUCUCUCUAGAGUUUUCUCAAGUUCAAGGAAGAAGAAGGUGGAGAGCUAGGGUUUCAAAUUGAGGGUUUCCUUCCACCAAAUUUUGUUGGGAUUUCUUCAAGUGAGGUAUGGUGUCUCUUCAUCUAGGACUCAUCUUCAUCCUAGAGUCAAUUUCAAAGGAUUUUACAAUGUUUUCAAAAAGUGACUAAAAGCUUGUUUUUGAAUUCUAUCAAGGGCUCUUGUAUGAAAAUGAUUUGAAACGUUUGGGUAUGGAUUAAUUGAUGUGUUUGUGGUUUUUGAAUGAAAUACUCCAUGAACCCUUGUCUUUUACAAAACCCUAAAAUUUGCUAUGAAGUGCGUCUUUUUCUAUAAAUUCAAAGUUGAUGGAAUUAUGUGUAAAGUGAAUUGUAUUGAUAUCUCUUGGGUUGUUUAAUGUUUAUUCAUGAUUAAUUGUUGAUAAUUGGUGAAUUAAGGGUGGUAAGCCUUAUGAGUGAAGUAUUGGUGAUUGCUUUGGAUUUUGGUGAUUUUGGUUAUGGCUUUGGAUUAUGGUAAGAAAGCUUGAACUCUCUUUAUUGAAUUGAUUGUUGUUGGUAGGUUGAAUCCACCUUUGGUGGAAGUGUUAUAUCUUAUUCUUGUGUGGUAUUAUUGUGAAUUGUAGCCAUGAAGGCAUUGGUGAAGUUGUUGUAUAAUGUUGGAAUAUUGUAUUAUUGUGAAUUGAGGCCAUGAAGGGCAUUAUAUGAGUGUUACUAUAUUAUUAUAUUAUUAUACAUAUAUGAGGCUAUAUGUAAAGUCCUAUAUGAAGCUAUAUGUAAAGUUUGUGUGAAGCUAUAAUGUGAAGAUGUUCUAAUGGUAUUAAUGUGAUAUUGUAUAAAAGUGUUAUUAUGCUAUAAUGUGAAAGCGUGUUUCUCUUGAAAUGGUGAUAUGUGGUGAUGAUGGACUAUGAUGAGUCUUUAUAAGAUGAUGUUGUAGCUCAUACGCUAGACUUGAGUAUCUUGUCUUGUGUCAUGAAAGCUUGACUAUAUAUAUGAAUGUUUGGUUGGGCUAUGACUUAGUAAUGGAGAUCUUCCUAUGAAUGCUAAAAGAGGAAUUCUAGGCCAAGACUUGAAUGGUAGACUUAAGCAUAGUGCCUUUUUCAUGAGUCUAGCUUUCCUAAGUAAAUGUAUAACCUUGAAGGAUGGGCUUUAGGGUGAUGUUCCCAUCUUGACUGAAAUAAUAGACUUAGAGAUGGAUGGAGCCGGAACGGCAUGAGAAUCCUUAUCUAAGAAAGUCAAAUGAGCUAUCCUUAUGACCUAAAUUGGCUAUGACUAGAAAUGGGGACCUUUUCUUGGGAAGAGGUACUAUGAGUUAGUUGAACUAGAAAAGGAACCCUCUCUAGUACAUAUGUGAUUGAAUACUCUAUGGAAACCAAGGCUAAGCACCGAGUGGAUGUGGUUAGGAUGGUGGCCUAGUUGAGCAUGAGAUUAGGCACAAUGAACAUCCUUGGACAUCUCUUAUCUAAGAAAGUCAAAUGAGCUAUCUUUUAGUUUAACCCUUGGCAAGUAGAACAACCUCCACGGAGUAGGAUAGACUCCGGAUUCCAUACCUUGCUAGUGUGGUCUAUGUCGGUUAAGACCUAUUUCCAUCAUAUGGGAAUAGGUUCUACAACGUGUAGGUAGUAGUAUGGGAUGCUAUUUACACAUGGCACGAGUAGGCUUAGAAGAUGCUAAAGUGAGUUCCCUAAGCCUUAGGGCUAUUAUGUGAUUGUCCCAUAUAUGCUUGUGUGUGUCUCUUAAAUGGUUUUAUAAAGAAUGUUGACUCAGUAUGUUAUAAUGUAAUGAUAAAACCCUUGUCUAUGGUAACUCUUAGGAACACUUAGGUGUAUAUGAAGAGGUUUCAUGGGCGGUCACUUCAUUAUUCACUUAAGUGUGGCUUAGGGUGACUUGAGAUAGAGGCUUAAAUGGUAAUGAAGGACUUACUUUGCUACCUUGAUUAAGUAUGGUACACUUGUGUUAAUUGGGUUGUAAAUGAUGUGAAUAUGGUCUUAUUUGUGAAUGGUGACUUGAAAUGUGGGUUUAUGCUUGUGGUUGUAAAGGUUUGUUAAAGGUCUUAAAAGCAUACAUUCCUUGUAAAUGUCCGUUGUGCAUGUUUUCUUGCAUGGUCGUCAUACUUAGUACUUAUUGUACUAAUUCCAUAUUUCUCUAUUGUUACAAGUGUAGGUGGUGGAAAGUGAAGAGAUUUUUUGAGGAAGCUUGGGAUAUUGACUAUUUCUCAAGAAGUUUGGUAUGUCCUCAUAUAUUCGAGGACAUAGUUGAACCCUUUCUAGUAUUUCCACUGUGUAUAAGAUGGUACAUGAGACUUAGAAAUUCUACUUCUUUACAUUUGAAAGAUUUUGUAAUAAAAAGUGUUUUUAUUCCUUACGGUUUUUAUUACCGAAUGCAAUGAUUGAUUGCUAAGGGCUAGUAUUAGACCUCCAAGAGGUCGAGUACGCAUGUUACGACUUGGGGGUGCUCUCGGGUCAUGACAAUAAGUUUUCAUUUUCCAUCACCGUUGGUACUAACAUAUCCUUCAUCAUUCAAAAUCAGGUGCAGACGAACAUCAAGAGCAUGUUUCACAUUGUUCAAAACUAGUUUAGUUUCAACACUAGUUUCCAAACAAAUUGUACCAAUACCAUCCACCUUAAAAAGAGUCUCAUUACCCAUACUCAAGGUUCAAAAUCACCAAGAGUAUAGGAAGAGAAAAAAUCCUUCCUUGAUGUCACGUGAAAUGCGGCAUCAGUGUCCACAACCCAACUUGACCCAUCACAAGCAAUAUUUAUCAUAUCCGCAUCAAAGACGAUAACAAGAUCUUUGGUGGUGACAGUGGCUAGGCAAUUUUCACUGUCAUCUUCUUUAGUUUCCUCUUUGUUUAUGUUCUCCCUCUUCAAUUUCCUGCAAAACUUCUUUGUGUGCCCUUUCAUGCCACAAUGAUAGCACUCAAUAUCCUUAAGUCUUCCUCUGGAUUUGCUCCUAUUUUGUUCCCUAUUUUGAGAACCACGAGUUUUGUUUCUCCCCCUGGAGCCAAUUAUCAGGACAUCUGACGAAGAAGAACCUUGAGGUUUUCUUCUCAUUUCUUCGUUCAAGACACUACUCUUGGUGGAAUCCAUAGAGAUCACACCAUUCGGAGGAGAAUUUGACAAUUUAGUUCUAAACGUUUCCCAAGAGUCUGGUAGGGAACCAAGUAGAAGCAAACCUUGAAUUUCUUCAUCAAAUUUGAUGCCUGUAGUAGAUAAUUGAUUCAUGAUUCCCUGAAAAUUAUUCAGAUGGUCUGUCAUCGGAGAACCAUCAUGAUACUUUAAACUCAACAUCUGCUUUAUUAAAAAUAUUUUGUUGUUGCCAAUCUUCCAAGCAUACAAACUUUCAACAUGCUCUUAUAGAGUUCGAGCAUGUGUCUUCCCAGAAAUAUGGUUCAACACAUUAUCGUCAACCCAUUGCCUAAUGAAUCCACAAACCUGCAUGUGCAACAUAUUUCACUCUUCAUCUGUUUUAUUAUCAGGUUUUACAGUGGUAAACAUUGGUUUGUAAAAAUUCUUGACAUGAAGCAGAAAUUUCCCCUUCCAAAUGUCAUAAUUAACACCAUUCAAAGUAACUAUUCUACUUGUGUUAGCUUCCAUUGUUUAUCCCCCAAAAAUAUAGUUAUUGCAAACCAAAGUAGAUAUUUUCUGAUGUGGAAGUUCAGACUGUGCUGCAACCACAGAUACUCAGAUAAAACCUUGACUCUAAUACCAGUUUGUUGGGAAAAUGCGGACUAAGACAAAAAUAUAUAUGGUCAAAUUAAUAGAAAUAAAAUGGGAAAAUAAUGACAACAAGAAUUUUAACGUGGAAACCCUUUUAAAUAAGGGAAAAGCCACAGGCCAAGAGGAACAACUGAUAUCACUAUAGUAAAGAAUUUUACACUGUAUAGUCACGAAUACAAUACUCAAAGUGACUACUACAUACUCAAAAGGAAUAACACUCUUUUGAUUUUCACCUUACUAAAAUAUCGCUCACAUUCUAGUUUUCUUCACAUACUAUUUUUCUUAUAUAGUCUAUGGAAUACCUCACUUUGCUCUCAAAUAUCCUUUUUUUCUCUCUAACUUGGUGUGUUUGAAAUGAGCAAGGGCUCUCUAUUUAUACGAGAAAUCUACUCCUAAUGAUGUCACUCAUGACAAUAUAAAAAACACCAAAGUUUCAACCUUUGCAACUAUGCAGAUUUCUUGGUAAGAUUUUAGUUGAAAAAGAAAUGGUGAGCUUUGGUUUGUUGCAGCAUUUGCUGACUUUAACAAUAAGCAACAAACAUUUCAACCUUUCCUACAUUUCAACUUUCCUUAUGUUUAUCUAUAAUGGGUAUGGAUCCUAUAUAUACAUCAGCCAUUGAAAUUGGGAAUUCUUAGUUUUGGAGAAAACUUAUCUCGUUUAGUCUGUUUCAAGUUCCCUUUUGGCUGUUUGAGUUGCUCGUGGUGGAGGGUAUGUCUUCGAUUUAUUGUUUUGAUGGGGAAAAUGCAGAGGAUAAUUAUAAGGAUGACACAAGGAGUGUAAAACAUGUUUAUUUAAAUGUUCGUGACUUUGUGUGGGGCAAGACAUGUUUAUUCAGUUUGUGAUCGUAGUGGCCAGGUCCCAGAAAGCUGAUUCUAAAAGGGUAUUAUUAUCUCAAUUUUUAGUUUGCUAUACGUUGAAUUUGUGUAUUAGCAAAAAAAAAUUUCUAGAUUUUGCUUUGACUGUCUAGUUUUCAAUUCAUAUUCGAUAUUUCUUUGUAUUCAUUGUUUAUGAUGUUUAAGCCUUUAUGCUUGUAAUCUUAGGUAGAAUUGUUAAUAUUAAUCCUUAAUCAAUUUAGCUUCAUGUAUGCUUAGAGAUUUUUGUAAGUAUUUAGCGUUUCUCAUUGAUAAAAUGCUUCACUGCUGCACAAUAGCACCUGCUUUAUCCUUUGUUACAACUCUUUUCCUCUUCUGUUCUAAUAUCUAAAAAUAUCUCUUUUAGGUGGAAGUUUGAUGUUUACUUGACUCAUAAUCAAAAGUUGUUUGUUUUGAUGAGAAUCUAUUUCAAUUUAUUUAAGGUUCACAAUUAUGUAAUUCCUAAAAAAUAUAAUUUUAUUCCAGUUUAAGUUUAGAUUUCAGAUUGAAGUUUGUCUUGAGUUCAUGGCUGUUUUAAAUCUUAUACUUGUCUAUGCUUUGGUUUAUCCACUCAUUCAUUCUAUCUUGCUAGCUUACUUCGAAAAAAAUCUGGAUGUGAUCUCGAGAUGUUGAAUCUAAGGCUAGAAAGUAGUUGUUCAUCUAAGUAAUCUGGCCAGCUGUGCAUUAAGAGUAAAUUAGUGAUAUAUUUUAUCAGCUCCUCUUUAAUUGCUUUGCUUACUUGCUAAAAGAAAUGCAUAUACAAAUGAUAAUCUGUGCUGUUUUUGAUUGUUUCCCUUCCUUCUAAUGGCUCCGUCACUUAGGUGUCUUUAGGUAGUUGUUCAUCAGGAUAUAUUUUAAUAGCAUAUUUGUUUCCAUACAGUGGCCUAUCUCUGCAUGUUUUUAUCUGUAUGAUAAGUUUUGUUUCCUCUUGGAUUGUGUCUAGUGAUAGAAUACUUACCUGUGUCAUUCAGCAUGUUUUUAACAUAUGUGUCAAUUACCUGUACAUAUUAAUAAAAUGUUGAAAAAUUGAGACGUGCUUGUCUAUCGUCAGAUCUCCCUUACUGUAUAUAAUUUUGAUGCCAAGAUUUUUAAAGACACUAUUUUCUCUUUUGCGAGUGUCGUCUUAGUCAUCUAUCUUGUGAGUAUUCUAAUAUGCUAGUAUAGUAGCUUUAAACUUUGUCCGGCUACCUAUCGUUUUGGGUAUAGAUUUAUAAUUUUUUUCUAUUGCUAUGAAUUCUCAUUUGCUACUGUUUUAGCCAGUCCCUUUAAAUAAUGUUUUGUGUUCUCACCAUUCUGUUUGCAUUUGACUACUUAUUACUCGUUUUGAAAUCUGUUGGAGUUAGAAAUUUAUAAAGAGUCCUGAAUGUGUGCUGGUUUGAUCUACUGUCAUCAGUUUUACCUUUGUUUUUCUCGUUUAAAUGAUUCCUUGCCGAUUUCCAACAAAUAGUUUGUUUUAUCCUAUCCAGUGAUUGAUUAACUAAGGCUUGAACUAUGAUUAAAUAGUAUGGUUUGUCUUAAAUCAAGUUCUCUUUCCUUUUAAAUGUUUGUCACAGUCUAAGGUUUUAAUCGAGGUGUAACUAUGAUAUGUUUCCGCUAAAAGGGCUAUAGUUGUAUGAAUACUUGGAGAUUAUGGCCUUAAUGUUUCCUCCUACUGUCCUCUAUUUGAAUAUGCCUGACCACCAGCUUGCUUGAAGUCAUCACUUUGUUCUAACUUUACCUUGUUAAAGGGUUGAUUAAGUGUCAAUCAAUUGUUGUGAAAAUUGAAAUCUUUGUUCCUUUGUUUGCUACUGUUAAGGUAUAUAACCUUUAUUUAUUUUGAGUUCUUUUGUUUCUUAUUAAUGAUAGGUUUUCUUCAUUGUUUUCUUUUUCCUCUACUUGAGUUUGAUAUACUUGAACCGAUGGUCUUUCGGAAACGACCUCUCUAUCUUCAUGAGGUAGUGGUAUUAGUCUGCGUACACUUUACCCUCCCUCUUCAAACCCCACUUAGUGGGAUUUCACUGGAUAUGUUGUUGUUGUUGGUUUGCUAAGAAGGUGUUAAACUUACGAUAAUGUUCAUUAGUUAUUGAAUCAAUUUCAGAUUUACCUUAGCUUAGUCUUUCUUUAAACAUGCUUGGUUUAGGAUAAUUCAAGUUUGAUUAUUUCUCAUUUUCUGGGAUUAGCUCUUGGAUCAUUAUUUCAGUUUUGAAAAUUUGCUCAAAGUUUAAUCCAUCUUUACAAGUUAAUAUUAGGUUACUGGUGUUGCAUCAGUUAAUUUUCUUAAUUAGUUUGCAAAGUCUCCUUUUAAUCCUAUUGUACAUGAAUUUCUUCGAAUCGUAGACUCCUAUUCUCCCUUACAUUUUCAAAUUGGGCUCAAUCCCGAUUUCGUCUUCAAGUCAACCUCGUCAAAGUGAAAGGGAGGCUAGUAUUUUAAAUGGUCAAGACCUAAAUUCGCC
Molecule: long non-coding RNA, 14816 nt
Filed under: Solanum tuberosum (potato)
Lineage: Eukaryota; Viridiplantae; Streptophyta; Magnoliopsida; Solanales; Solanaceae
Description: long non-coding RNA (STUB_LNC000152)
Source: RNAcentral